Long non-coding RNA from Dryobates pubescens (Downy woodpecker), 163 nucleotides. RefSeq lists it as uncharacterized. The record is from RefSeq and is a predicted model, not a curated record. Lineage: Eukaryota; Metazoa; Chordata; Aves; Piciformes; Picidae. The transcript is spliced from 3 exons.
UGAAAAUUGAGCACACACAGCAUGGAUGUAAAAGGUACUCUUGAAAAUAGCUCCAAACAUCACCCAAAUAGAGGAUUCUGUGAUUUGUGCAAACAGCUUCAUUCUGGAAGUUAUUGGAGUCUUUACUCCUAAGACCAUCCCUCAGGAACCUCAGUCUCUGGAA